Molecule: long non-coding RNA, 240 nt
Filed under: Eucalyptus grandis
Lineage: Eukaryota; Viridiplantae; Streptophyta; Magnoliopsida; Myrtales; Myrtaceae
Description: long non-coding RNA (EGRA_LNC003752)
Source: RNAcentral
GAGAGAGAGAGGGAGAGAGAGAGAGAGAGAGGAGGGGAGCUGCCGUUCGAACCAGCCAGCUGGCCGGAUGCCGCCUCCUUCGCCCGCUCGACGCCGCGGCUCGUUGCCGUCACCGCCGCGCACCGUUGCCGCUCCGCCUUGGCCGUCGCCCUCCGUCUUUCCCCUUUCUCUUCCGUCGGUUCUCUCUUCCAUGGCUGCUGUGCGAAGACCAGAAAAUGCAGCAGAAGAAAUCCGGUUGCA